This 211-nucleotide long non-coding RNA is filed under the name Lathyrus oleraceus (garden pea). RNAcentral describes it as "Pisum sativum (pea) long non-coding RNA (PSAT_LNC011529)". Lineage: Eukaryota; Viridiplantae; Streptophyta; Magnoliopsida; Fabales; Fabaceae. The record is from RNAcentral.
UACAUUUCAUCUCCCAAAAUGAAUGGAUGGUUUUGAUUUGAUGAAACUCCUCCCAUGACCAAUUUGUGUUUCUAUCUUCCCCUCCAUCUUCAUAUUCAUCCCUAUUCUUCCCCAUUCCUUCAUUUGACCAAUGAAAUCUCUAAUGUCUUAAGGCUAAUUGGUUCAUCAAUGACCCUGUGUCAGAUGACCCAAAACAAGUAUGACUGAGAUA